Molecule: ribosomal RNA, 515 nt
Filed under: uncultured bacterium
Lineage: Bacteria
Description: partial 16S ribosomal RNA
Rfam family: Bacterial small subunit ribosomal RNA
Source: RNAcentral
GAUGAACGCUGGCGGCGUGCCUAAUACGUGCAAGUCGAGCGAAUGGAUUAAGAGCUUGCUCUUAUGAAGUUAGCGGCGGACGGGUGAGUAACACGUGGGUAACCUGCCCAUAAGACUGGGAUAACUCCGGGAAACCGGGGCUAAUACCGGAUAACAUUUUGAACCGCAUGGUUCGAAAUUGAAAGGCGGCUUCGGCUGUCACUUAUGGAUGGACCCGCGUCGCAUUAGCUAGUUGGUGAGGUAACGGCUCACCAAGGCAACGAUGCGUAGCCGAGCUGAGAGGGUGAUCGGCCACACUGGGACUGAGACACGGCCCAGACUCCUACGGGAGGCAGCAGUAGGGGAUCUUCCGCAAUGGACGAAAGUCUGACGGAGCAACGCCGCGUGAGUGAUGAAGGCUUUCGGGUCGUAAAACUCUGUUGUUAGGGAAGAACAAGUGCUAGUUGAAUAAGCUGGCACCUUGACGGUACCUAACCAGAAAGCCACGGCUAACUACGUGCCAGCCGCCGCAGUAA